ACAAAGAAAUACAGUGUCCCUUUAUUUGCUAUUGCAGUUCUUAUUCUAAGAAAGCUGAGUACAUUUUAAAAGCACACACAGAUAAAUAGUUCUGUAGUCUGAAAUUUCCAAUUCAAAAGCAAAAGGAGAGUUUGCAAAACAUGCUCUCAUGCAAAGAACUGCCCAUUUAUCACCAUUUGAUGAAAAUGUGUGUGUAUGUGUGUUGCAUAUAUAUACACAGCAAAGUUGGAAAAGAUGAGGCUUUGAAAACUAGUCCUAGAAAAUAGAUUUAUCCAUGCCAAUUUGUGUAUGUUUCUGUAUAUAUUUUAAAUACAAUAAGGUUGAUUACAAACAGGAGGUUCAUUUUGUUGACUUUUUUUC
This 360-nucleotide long non-coding RNA is filed under the name Bos taurus (domestic cattle). RNAcentral describes it as "long non-coding RNA NONBTAT022554". The record is from RNAcentral. Lineage: Eukaryota; Metazoa; Chordata; Mammalia; Artiodactyla; Bovidae.